Molecule: long non-coding RNA, 916 nt
Filed under: Sander lucioperca (pikeperch)
Lineage: Eukaryota; Metazoa; Chordata; Actinopteri; Perciformes; Percidae
Description: lncRNA (ENSSLUG00000001920.1)
Source: RNAcentral
GACCCAACUGCUCUUCAAUUUUGUCCCCCCCCCCACACCCCCCCAAUCCAUUUCUUAUCAGGAACACCAAGCUAUUCACAGUGAGCACUCCUCCAGCUCUGACAGUGUGGAUGACAGCACCAUAGAGAGACAUGUAAGACGUCUAUUUGGUAUACUGAUGCUGAUGCUGAUGCCAGCUGCGAGGUGAAAAGCCAGCCAACGGAGGCACCGAAGAAAGGGACUAUGACUUUGAGAAUAAGGAGGAUUCUGCCCACUGCAUUAUUUGGAUUUGGAACAAAGGACUCAUCAUCUGACACUCAAGCACUGCCCCAGGAAGUAGUGGAAGUUCAGACACUAGAGAUGGCUGAAGUACCAGUGCCCAGUGAAGGAACUGUCCUGGACCCUCUAGAAGUAAGCUUAUUUUUAUUUAUUUUAUGUCUUAAUGAUGUUGAUAGGUUUUCAAUGUAGUGAGUCCGCGGGACCCACAGGUGGUCAUUUAAAUGAGUCCUAGGGAAACUGAAACAGUCCUUAACUAACUUUUUUUUAACAUCCUCCUAGAUAUAUAAGCCCUCCUAUAAUGAAUGUGGACCAUUCACAUUUUAAAUCUUUGUUUUUCUACAUGAUCAAAAAACGUUAAAAUUAUUCGAACUGAUCUUUAAUAUAAAUGAAACAUUAUCCAAAUUGGAAGAAUUGCUGCUACCAUAAGCCACACGUGUUGCUCAGUGCCCUUUAUCCACCACUUUUUUUCCAUCAUAUCAGGUAACACUAAAUCCGUAAUGUUCUCAUACAGCAGACAGAGACCGACUGACAGCUGCACACAGCACUUUGUCCGUGCCAGCCAACUGCGGUUUCACCAGGGCGCAAGGCUCCCCCCCCGCCCCCACCCCCAAAUAACUACGUUUUAUUUCUACACAAGCCAUUUUGACUGAAAUCUGUG